ACAGUGCUACUGGCCCAUAAUCAGGCAACUGCAGAGUCUUAGGGGGUUAUCUAAUGUAGUCUUGGGGUGGCUGGAUAGACUUCCCAAAGAAGGUGAUGCCGAAGCUGAGGUCGGAAAUUACGAAGAUCAGCUAUUGACUUUCUCCAAUGAAGUCUUGAACCCCUUAAAUUCAUCCAUGAGGGCUGGAGUCUACUUCUUCAAAACUCCUAUUAAUGUUGAUAUUUUGACCUUUUCCCGUGAAUCACCAAUCAUCUACUUGUUUCCAAAGUUAUUUGGGUCAGCAUUUUCCUCCACCCACCACUUAAAACUGAUUUGUUUCAUACAUUUGAAAUGUAUGAAAAGCCAGAAAUCCAGGACCCACCCUGGCCUGCUCCCUUUUUCUCACCUACUGUGUUAAGAUGUCUACACUUUUACCUCUGCUUGCCUGAUACAACCACCACCAGUCACCUCACAGAAUAACUCACUCCUUAAGAAUCUGAUCAGGAAUCAGCCUUCCCUGAUCACAAACACUGAGUUUAGAAGUCCCUCCACAGUGUCCCCCGUAACCCUGUGCUACCUCACUGCCUCAUAGUUUAGUGCCGUUUGUGUACAUGCCUAUCUUCGUCCAUGGAUCCAGAACAACUUGUAAAAAUGACUGUACUUAUCACCUUCAGUAUUCAAUGACUAAACUAUAAUUUUAACAUAUCUGGCAGAAUGAAUCACUUGGGGAUUUCUGCCAACACUACCAAUAUAUUACUCCUAAUUUGUAAUUAUUACUUAGCAUGGAUUAUAGUACCGGCUGUUGGAGAGCCAAUGUGGCAGACCCUAAGUGGAAUAAAAUGUCAGUAGCAGUCUAGGAGCAUAUAUUUAUUGGAAUAGAUCAUUCAUUCAUUUGUUCAUUAACUAAUUUGUUCAUUAAAUAAACAUUUAUUAAGCA
Molecule: long non-coding RNA, 916 nt
Filed under: Homo sapiens (human)
Lineage: Eukaryota; Metazoa; Chordata; Mammalia; Primates; Hominidae
Description: CCDC26 long non-coding RNA
Source: RNAcentral